GACGAACGCUGGCGGCGUGCCUAAUACAUGCAAGUCGAACGCUUCUUUCCUCCCGAGUGCUUGCACUCAAUUGGAAGGAGGAGUGGCGGACGGGUGAGUAACGCGUGGGUAACCUACCCAUCAGAGGGGGAUAACACUUGGAAACAGGUGCUAAUACCGCAUAACAGUUUAUGCCGCAUGGCAUAAGAGUGAAAGGCGCUUUCGGGUGUCGCUGAUGGAUGGACCCGCGGUGCAUUAGCUAGUUGGUGAGGUAACGGCUCACCAAGGCCACGAUGCAUAGCCGACCUGAGAGGGUGAUCGGCCACACUGGGACUGAGACACGGCCCAGACUCCUACGGGAGGCAGCAGUAGGGAAUCUUCGGCAAUGGACGAAAGUCUGACCGAGCAACGCCGCGUGAGUGAAGAAGGUUUUCGGAUCGUAAAACUCUGUUGUUAGAGAAGAACAAGGACGUUAGUAACUGAACGUCCCCUGACGGUAUCUAACCAGAAAGCCACGGCUAACUACGUG
Molecule: ribosomal RNA, 508 nt
Filed under: uncultured bacterium
Lineage: Bacteria
Description: partial 16S ribosomal RNA
Rfam family: Bacterial small subunit ribosomal RNA
Source: RNAcentral